Cucurbita maxima (winter squash) is the source of this 318-nucleotide long non-coding RNA. RefSeq lists it as uncharacterized. The transcript has 2 exons. Lineage: Eukaryota; Viridiplantae; Streptophyta; Magnoliopsida; Cucurbitales; Cucurbitaceae. The record is from RefSeq and is a predicted model, not a curated record.
AAAAAAAAAAAAAAAACCUCAAGACUUCUUUUGCUCUUAUCCUUCGGAGGAUGAUCCAAAAAAUCGACGAAGAACGGAAUCGAACUCCUCGACGUAAGAGAUCAUCUUCUCAUUUGAGAUUUACCAACGGAGAUAUUCAUUCGAGCAUGAUCGGUAAGUGUUUUAGCCAAGUGAAUUGAAACGAUCUGAGUAUGAACCGAUAACAAUUUUACUCUUUCAAAUUCAGAAAGAACCCUAGUUUUGUGCAACAAAAAAAUUGAACACACAAAUUGCAAAAUCCAAAAUCCAAAAUCCAAAAUCCAAAAGAACAAUUUCUAC